UGACAAGUGUCUAAACCAACGACGUCUUUCUGACAAAGAAGUCUUGUUCGGCACUCCCCAGGCCAGACAGCUUUUUACCAGCAAGAGGGAACAGCGGUGAAGUUGUCGCAUUGGAAGCAAAGUUGUACUACUUUGUAGCAAAAAUUAUUACAGUCUGUGUUGUCCGUGGAGGAGUUCCCCAACUUUUUUUCUCAGUCAGCAAUUUGCGGGCUUCCAAAGGCCCCUUUCAGACCAGAAGUUCUGCAUGAUCACAAACUCCGGGAGCAGCUAAUCAAGGUUUGCAGAGGGCUUCAAGAUUCUGGGGCUACUGAAAGAGCUGCAGAAAAACCCAGCGGUUGUUUCUGACAUGUCCGUGUGUGAGGAGAAAGCCCUCACUGCCAGGGACAUGAGCCACAGUGGCCUAUUCUGCUCAGGGCAGCAAUCAGCGCGUUCUGGAGAACCAAUUGGUCUGCUUUAGGAGUGACUGGCUGAUUGACAUUAAAGAAGAGGAGGAUGGUCCACCCUCUCUCUCGAUGUUCACCUCUGGAGCCUCUGCCAUCCCUCCACUUGGCUUUUCCUGCCAGCCUGAAAUCCAGUUUCUGCAUGACACCAAGACAAUUUACCCAGAAGCCAAUACUAGUGUUGUUGUCCUGUUGUAUCUGUCGCUGCACUCCUCCUACAAGGCUGUUAGAAUAUACAUGAUGGAGGGAAUUUUGCAAGCUCCGACCUUUGGAGUUUCUUAAAUGAUCACGAAUGUGACUAUGAAAGGUUACGCUGUAAGGUGAUGACGGGUUUGCAUGUUUGUCCAGCUGUUGUUAAUGUUUUACUUAAUUUUAAGGUAAAACGUGGUUUUACAAGUCUGAAAAGUGUACCAGUGUUUAAAAAAUACUGUUAAUAUGUUUUUUACUAAAAGCCUUUAGCUGGUCCUGAGGAUAAAAUAUCAGAAGACUGUGCCAGAUGAUUCAGGUUCUGUCAUUAAACUUCUGAAAUGGUUUUAGAUUUUAACAACUUUCAGGAAGUUGACAAAUUGUUAUCCAAGACCAUCAUAUGUUCUCUUCUAGGUUUGUCUUUAUGGCAAUAAAGAAAAUACUCAAAAUUAAAGUUUGAUACAUAAAAAAAUAUUAAACUGAACUUAUCAUGGCCACUAAUGACAAAGAAAAAAUAAAUAAACAGAUAUUUUUGCCAAAAGGAGGGAGAAGUUUAACACAAGAAGAGGGCCAAAAUAAAAAUGUGUUUUUUAAAA
Long non-coding RNA from Fundulus heteroclitus (mummichog), 1222 nucleotides. RefSeq lists it as uncharacterized. The record is from RefSeq and is a predicted model, not a curated record. The transcript has 4 exons. Lineage: Eukaryota; Metazoa; Chordata; Actinopteri; Cyprinodontiformes; Fundulidae.